RNAcentral lists this ribosomal RNA (169 nucleotides) under Coryphaenoides rupestris (roundnose grenadier). RNAcentral's name for it is "partial small subunit ribosomal RNA". The record is from RNAcentral. Lineage: Eukaryota; Metazoa; Chordata; Actinopteri; Gadiformes; Macrouridae.
CACCGCGGUUAAACGGGAGGCCCAAGUUGACAGACAGCGGCGUAAAGCGUGGUUAAGAUACUUAUUAAAUAGGGCCGAAUAGUCUCAAGGCAGUCAAAUAUAUCCGAGACCACGAAGCACAUCCACGAAGGUGGCCCUAACACCCACUGACCCCACGAAAGCCAUAACA